UAGCCACCCCUUUUAAUAUUGCCGAAAUCUGGUUUCGACACUAGGGCGGCCAGAUCGCGCGGCGGCGGUCCUCGGGCGGCUUGCGACGGCGUGCGGCUGCGUCGACGGCCAGCGGCGGCAGUCCUCGGGCGGCUCGGCGACACCGUGCGGCAGCGUCGACGGCCUGCAGCGGCGGUCUUCUCCGUCGCCGCUCACCGCGCCGGCUUGCUCGCCCCUCGCCGCUUGCCGCGCCGACCUCCGUUUCCAUCACUGCCGGGUGUGGGAGCGGUGGAUCUGCCGGCGCCGUGGCUGCCACCAGCAGACCAAACAACCCUACUGCUAACGGAAUCUCCAUCUCUAUGUGUUACUAUGUUAUGCGUGUAUCGUCUUAAUUAGCUAAGUAGCUGCGGUGCGACCGUGAGUCUGACUGAACUGAUCUUUGGUCUGUGGUUACUGGCGGUGCCUAAAGGUUUCUUUUCUUGAUUAUACUUGGGCUGUGUAGAUAUUUCGAGUUUCGCUUCUGUAGGGCUGUUUCUGAUGCAAUUUGCAAUAGAUUGCGUCAUCUCUGUUCAUUAGCAGUAGUUUUGCUGGAACUUUACUGGAUUGUUGCUUAGGCUAGUUCAGGGGUGCCAAUGGGGAUGGAAUUGCCUUAUCAGGUCUUCUCAGCUUAUAUACUUAUCCUAUAGUUGUUCUGGGUGUAGUGGUUGUGCUGGUUUCUUUAAUGGAAAUGGGAGGGGAUCUGCCCUUCUUGCUAAAAAAAAAGUAGAUUGCAAAAUGAUUAAUUGAGUUUUCUCUGUUUACUUUUUUUUUAUUAUUUUUUUGCGCCGGGCUGAGUUUUCUGUGUGUUGGCAUCUUGCAACUGUCGAGAAAGGUCUAUUUAACUGAAGUUUGGCGCUGGUUAAUAUCCUAGUAUGUUUCUUUGUCCCUGUAGACCUGAUUACUAACCUGGAAUCAAUAUCCUCAAUUGCAUUAGAGUGAUUACUUUUGUUGGGGUACACAAAUCAUUGCUAGCUAAAUAUCUGGAGGGUAAUGCUGAACUAUGGUUAUUUAUUUUCAACAUAGUAUUCUGUUAAACUGAAUAUAUAAAUUUUAUCUUUGACAAGCACUAAUUCCUGUUCUUUACUGUUGGACUAAUUGUGCCUCACAUGUGUAUAGAAGUUACAAAUGGCCCCUUCCUCUUCUGGUACUAGUUAGUAGGAAAAGCUGCAUUCACAAACAAUUGGUUGAGCUGAUAUGGCUACAUCUGUUUGGCAGUUUCACUUGAUUUCUUCAGUGAUAUAAGCAUUCCUGGGCACUUGAUGCAGUAUGGCACAGCUAGGGCGCUAGAUGGUAGGUGGAUGCUGAAGACUGAAGAUGGUGAUGAGCUCUAUCUUGAUUUAGAUGAAGAGGUAAUGAUGACAUUGAACAAGGCGUCCUUGAUAAGGUUUGUCUGCCCUUUUCAUGUCGACUUGCUGAUUCAUGAUGAGAGGGCAAUAUCUUUUGAUUGGUGUGAUUCAGACAUGCGACUUGUUUUGUUAGUGAAUGUGACUGUAACUUGUUUAUUUUGCUAGGAUAGUUACAUGUACUUAGUAACUCAGUGAACCUGUGAUUGUAUUUGGAACAUGACUGGAUUUGGCUGUUAACUAGGUUGUAAAUUUUGUGUUGUAUUGGAUGUUUGAUGCUAAUUGGGUUGUUACCUUUGUGCUAUAUGGGUUGUUAUUGUGUUUGA
Long non-coding RNA from Oryza sativa Japonica Group (Japanese rice), 1687 nucleotides. RefSeq lists it as uncharacterized. Lineage: Eukaryota; Viridiplantae; Streptophyta; Magnoliopsida; Poales; Poaceae. The record is from RefSeq and is a predicted model, not a curated record.